CCUACGGGUGGCAGCAGUGAGGAAUAUUGGUCAAUGGACGAGAGUCUGAACCAGCCAAGUAGCGUGAAGGAUGACUGCCCUCUGGGUUGUAAACUUCUUUUAUAUGGGAAUAAAAUGUUCCAUGUGUGGGAUUUUGUAUGUACCAUAUGAAUAAGGAUCGGCUAACGCCGUGCCAGCAGCCGCGGUAAUAUGGAGGAUCCGAGCGUUAUCCGGAUUUAUUGGGGUUAAAGGGAGCGUAGGUGGAUUGUUAAGGCAGUUGUGAAAGUGUGCGGCUCAACCGUAGAAUUGCAGUUGAAACUGGCAGUCUUGAGUACAGUAGAGGUAGGCGGAAUGCGUGGUGUAGCGGUGAAAUGCUUAGAUAUCACGAAGAACUCCGAUUGCGAAGGCAGUUCACUGGACUGCAACUGACACUGAGGCUCGAAAGUGUGGGUAUCAAACAGGAUUAGAUACCCCGGUAGUC
RNAcentral lists this ribosomal RNA (460 nucleotides) under uncultured bacterium. Its description in RNAcentral is "partial 16S ribosomal RNA". It matches the Rfam family "Bacterial small subunit ribosomal RNA", at positions 338 to 795 of the family's 1533-position model. The record is from RNAcentral.